UAGAUUUAGAAGCAAGAAAUAACUCGAGCCAAUCACAGUUGAUUUUGACGGCAAAGGUCACAUAUUCACCACUCUCAAGAGCAGGAGCUUACCCAGUCGACUCGAUAAGACAAUACUUGAAUUGGGUUCAUGUUAUCACUGCUGAAUACUCACGCCCUAUGUGGACAAAUUUAACUGGUGCUUAUGCGGCACUAUAUAAUCCAAAUAGUGUCUCUAACACUGAAUACGGAAUCACCGAAUGGAUUGAGGAAGGGUUAUCUGCUGAUAAAUUGGUUUUAUGUUUGCCUUUCUAUGGCUAUGCAUGGACGCUUGUGAAACCUGAGGACAAUGGUAUUGGUGCAGCAGCAACAGGACCAGCUUUGCAUGAUAAUGGCCUCGUGACUUAUAAGGAAAUCAAGAAUCGCAUCAAGCACUAUGGUCCUAACGUUCAAGUUAUGUACAAUUCAACUUAUGUGAUGAAUUACUUCUCGAUUGGGAAGAUUUGGUUUGGUUUUGAUGAUGUCGAAGCCGUUAGAGUGAAGGUUUCAUAUGCGAAGGAGAAGAAACUACGUGGUUACUUUGUGUGGCUAGUUUCCUAUGAUCAUUAUUGGAUGCUUUCUCAAGCUGCAGGUAAGCAAAUGCAAAGCCUCAGUCACUGCCUGCUAUCCAUUCGAUCAGUUCUCUGCAUAAUGACUUCAAUUAAGAUCUUUAUUUGACCAUCAAAUGUUUAACUAACACAAAGUGAUUUGACUUUUCAGCUCAAGAGGAUAAUAAGAAUCGACAAAGUAAGCGACUAUUAUGGGCAAUUGUUUUGCCUAUAACUGCAGCUUGUAUUCUUCUAAUUGGUUUUUUACUGUAUUACUACUGCUGGAUGAAAAACCUCAAAUUAAAAGGUAACUUCUUCUACACGGGAUUAGGAAUAUUUUUACUUCCAUUCCAUUUAACACAGAUGAAGAAGUGGGCAAUUCACUUAAAUUUGCUUUCUUUCUCUUGGUUGAUAUUAAUUGGACCGUAAUUGACUCAGCCAAACCAUCAAAGGACAGCGCAACUAGUCAAGCAGAUGCUGGAGAUUUUAACAGCAAUGAUCCUGAUCUCAGAGAAUAUAGCUUGGCUGAUAUUGAGGUGGCCACGGAUAGAUUUUCAAUCGAAAAUAAGCUCGGGGAGGGUGGAUAUGGUCCUGUUUACAAGGUUAUGUAUCGGUAGCUUGGUUAUCUCUCAGCUUAUUAAUUAAUUAGUAUUGGAAUUCUCUUUAAAGAGUGGCGAGCUGCCGUAGAUUUAGAAGCAAGAAAUAACUCGAGCCAAUCACAGUUGAUUUUGACGGCAAAGGUCACAUAUUCACCACUCUCAAGAGCAGGAGCUUACCCAGUCGACUCGAUAAGACAAUACUUGAAUUGGGUUCAUGUUAUCACUGCUGAAUACUCACGCCCUAUGUGGACAAAUUUAACUGGUGCUUAUGCGGCACUAUAUAAUCCAAAUAGUGUCUCUAACACUGAAUACGGAAUCACCGAAUGGAUUGAGGAAGGGUUAUCUGCUGAUAAAUUGGUUUUAUGUUUGCCUUUCUAUGGCUAUGCAUGGACGCUUGUGAAACCUGAGGACAAUGGUAUUGGUGCAGCAGCAACAGGACCAGCUUUGCAUGAUAAUGGCCUCGUGACUUAUAAGGAAAUCAAGAAUCGCAUCAAGCACUAUGGUCCUAACGUUCAAGUUAUGUACA
This 1690-nucleotide long non-coding RNA is filed under the name Citrus sinensis (sweet orange). Its description in RNAcentral is "long non-coding RNA (CSIN_LNC003017)". The record is from RNAcentral. Lineage: Eukaryota; Viridiplantae; Streptophyta; Magnoliopsida; Sapindales; Rutaceae.